Molecule: ribosomal RNA, 253 nt
Filed under: uncultured bacterium
Lineage: Bacteria
Description: partial 16S ribosomal RNA
Rfam family: Bacterial small subunit ribosomal RNA
Source: RNAcentral
UACGAAGGGGGCUAGCGUUGCUCGGAAUUACUGGGCGUAAAGGGCGCGUAGGCGGCUCAUACAGUCAGGCGUGAAAUUCCUGGGCUCAACCUGGGGGCUGCGCUUGAGACGUGUGGGCUUGAGGACAGGAGAGGCUCGUGGAAUUCCCAGUGUAGAGGUGAAAUUCGUAGAUAUUGGGAAGAACACCGGUGGCGAAGGCGGCGAGCUGGCCUGUAACUGACGCUGAGGCGCGACAGCGUGGGGAGCAAACAGG